GACGAACGCUGGCGGCGUGCCUAACACAUGCAAGUCGAACGGGGUAAUGACUUCGGUUAUUACUUAGUGGCGAACGGGUGAGUAACGCGUGAGGAACCUGCCUUUCAGUGGGGGACAACAGUUGGAAACGACUGCUAAUACCGCAUAAUGUGCUUAGGGGGCGUCCCCUGAGUACCAAAGCUUUAUGUGCUGAAAGAUGGUCUCGCGUCUGAUUAGCUAGUUGGUGAGGUAACGGCUCACCAAGGCGACGAUCAGUAGCCGGUCUGAGAGGAUGAACGGCCACAUUGGGACUGAGAUACGGCCCAGACUCCUACGGGAGGCAGCAGUGGGGGAUAUUGCACAAUGGGGGAAACCCUGAUGCAGCAACGCCGCGUGAAGGAAGAAGGUCUUCGGAUUGUAAACUUCUGUUUUUAGUGAAGAACAAAUGACGGUAGCUAAAGAGGAAGCCACGGCUAACUACGU
This 462-nucleotide ribosomal RNA is filed under the name uncultured bacterium. RNAcentral's name for it is "bacterial SSU rRNA". It matches the Rfam family "Bacterial small subunit ribosomal RNA", at positions 28 to 506 of the family's 1533-position model. The record is from RNAcentral.